RNAcentral lists this ribosomal RNA (625 nucleotides) under Salmonella enterica subsp. enterica serovar Weltevreden. RNAcentral describes it as "partial 23S ribosomal RNA". It matches the Rfam family "Bacterial large subunit ribosomal RNA", at positions 2140 to 2764 of the family's 2925-position model. The record is from RNAcentral. Lineage: Bacteria; Pseudomonadati; Pseudomonadota; Gammaproteobacteria; Enterobacterales; Enterobacteriaceae.
AGGAUAGGUGGGAGGCUUUGAAGUGUGGACGCCAGUCUGCAUGGAGCCGACCUUGAAAUACCACCCUUUAAUGUUUGAUGUUCUAACGUGGACCCGUUACCCGGGUUGCGGACAGUGUCUGGUGGGUAGUUUGACUGGGGCGGUCUCCUCCUAAAGAGUAACGGAGGAGCACGAAGGUUGGCUAAUCCUGGUCGGACAUCAGGAGGUUAGUGCAAUGGCAUAAGCCAGCUUGACUGCGAGCGUGACGGCGCGAGCAGGUGCGAAAGCAGGUCAUAGUGAUCCGGUGGUUCUGAAUGGAAGGGCCAUCGCUCAACGGAUAAAAGGUACUCCGGGGAUAACAGGCUGAUACCGCCCAAGAGUUCAUAUCGACGGCGGUGUUUGGCACCUCGAUGUCGGCUCAUCACAUCCUGGGGCUGAAGUAGGUCCCAAGGGUAUGGCUGUUCGCCAUUUAAAGUGGUACGCGAGCUGGGUUUAGAACGUCGUGAGACAGUUCGGUCCCUAUCUGCCGUGGGCGCUGGAGAACUGAGGGGGGCUGCUCCUAGUACGAGAGGACCGGAGUGGACGCAUCACUGGUGUUCGGGUUGUCAUGCCAAUGGCACUGCCCGGUAGCUAAAUGCGGAAGAGA